CUUACACGAAGCUCUUUUCCUCCAUUACCUCCUUUCAUCUUUAGAAGGCCUACUAGAUGCUGGGGAAACAGUAGGAACAAGACACGGUACCUGCUCAUGGAUCUUUCAGGAAAAUGAAGCAGAUAAUAAGCAGGAAAAAAUGAAGUGCAUGAUCUAAGAAGAAAAUAAACAGGAUGCUGAGGUGCUCCUCUAUGCCUUACUUACUCUGUCAGCUGGAAGUAGGUGAUGACCAGAAUCUGGAGAAGACACAGCCUCAAGAUGGAAGAUCUCAGCGUGGAGGAGAACUGUGUCUCAUCUACCUGAAUAUCUA
This is a long non-coding RNA of Propithecus coquereli (Coquerel's sifaka), 310 nucleotides long. RefSeq lists it as uncharacterized. The transcript is spliced from 3 exons. The record is from RefSeq and is a predicted model, not a curated record. NCBI's taxonomy places the organism in Eukaryota, Metazoa, Chordata, Mammalia, Primates, Indriidae.